This 817-nucleotide ribosomal RNA is filed under the name uncultured bacterium. RNAcentral describes it as "bacterial SSU rRNA". It matches the Rfam family "Bacterial small subunit ribosomal RNA", at positions 8 to 796 of the family's 1533-position model. The record is from RNAcentral.
AGAGUUUGAUCAUGGCUCAGAACGAACGCUGGCGGCGUGGAUAAGACAUGCAAGUCGAGCGCUGAUUACAGGGUAGCAAUAUUCUGUAGUUGGAGCGGCGCAAGGGUGCGUAACACGUGGGGUAAUUUGCCAUGAAGUCUGGAAUAACUCGCUGAAAAGGCGAGCUAAUGCCGGAUGUGAACAUUGGGCGGCAUCGUUUGAUGUUCAAAGUUGGGGACCGUAAGGCCUGACGCUUCAUGAUAAGCCCGCGGCCUAUCAGCUAGUUGGCGAGGUAACGGCUCACCAAGGCUAAGACGGGUAGCUGGUCUGAGAGGACGACCAGCCACACUGGAACUGAGACACGGUCCAGACACCUACGGGUGGCAGCAGUCGAGAAUUUUUCACAAUGGGCGAAAGCCUGAUGGAGCGACGCCGCGUGGGGGAUGAAUGGCUUCGGCCCGUAAACCCCUGUCAUUCGGGAUCAAUGCGUCUGGGUGAACAUCCCAUACGUUGAUAGUACCGGAAGAGGAAGGGACGGCUAACUCUGUGCCAGCAGCCGCGGUAAUACAGAGGUCCCAAGCGUUGUUCGGAUUUACUGGGCGUAAAGGGUGCGUAGGCGGUCGGGUAAGUCUGAUGUGAAAUCUCUGGGCUCAACCCAGAAACGGCAUUGGAUACUAUUCGGCUCGAGAGUUGGAGGGGGGACUGGAAUACUUGGUGUAGCAGUGAAAUGCGUAGAUAUCAAGUGGAACACCAGUGGCGAAGGCGAGUCCCUGGACAACUUCUGACGCUGAGGCACGAAAGCUAGGGGAGCAAACAGGAUUAGAUACCCUAGUAGUCC